Aegilops tauschii subsp. strangulata is the source of this 9113-nucleotide long non-coding RNA. RefSeq lists it as uncharacterized. The record is from RefSeq and is a predicted model, not a curated record. Lineage: Eukaryota; Viridiplantae; Streptophyta; Magnoliopsida; Poales; Poaceae.
UUAUAGAAAAUCCAUUUUUGUUGUUGAGAAAAUCCAAAUUUUCCCUCUUUUGAGGAAUGCCCACACUUUAUUAAUUCAAAGCAAAAUUCAAAGGGGUCAUGUGUAGUUAAUAGCCACGAGAGGGGUCAUUUGGUUAGGAAAAUCCAAUUUUUUUCCUAGACCAGGACCAGAGAAACGACGGCCCAAGAGUCACCGACGGCCCAUCGAGGCCGAAACGCUCAACUAAACCGGCCCCAAAUCGAUCCACCCUUCUCUCCCCGCCGCGGCGCAACUCCUCUGGCGGCCGGCGAGCGAGCAGAGAUGAACGCCGCUGCUCCCGCCUCCCCUCUCACCUUCUUACUCUUCCUCAAUCCAAUCUGCCGGCGGGGAAUUUCGGAUUCCAGCGCGAAGGGGCGCAUCGGUGAUCCUUCGGCGCGCGGCUGCGAUAGAGCUCGUCCCUCCUCUUCCACGGCCACCAAUGGCGCAGGUCCCUUUCCUCCUCGAACGCUCGCUCAGGGUGCUCCGUUCCUCAGCCGGUGAACCCCCGUCUCUUCCACGGCAGCGGCACAGGCCGCAUCUUGAGCCUCCCUUCUCUUCCACGACAAGCGGCACAAGCAACAUGUUUUCUAGGGUUUUGUUUUCUUUGUUUUUUUUUUUUUUGUAAAUUAAUUAGUCUGGUAGAUUUGGAGAGAAGGGAAUUGCAGAUUUGGAAAGGAUGAACAUCCAAAUUAAGCAGAUUUGAUUUGUCUUUCUGUUCUGAACAUGGCACUGAACUUCACAAAUUUACCUUUCUGUUCUGAACUGCAGAUUUGUCUCAUUGCCAACAUAUCUGCAUAAGCUACAUCCAAAUUAAGCAGUACCAGUCCCCAAAAAAAUUACUUGGCCAGUGAAAGAAGCCAGUAUUCUGCGUUUCUGUUCGAUCUACUACAGGAGGAUUUGGAAGGAGUGAUGGAUGUUCUCUUGGAUUCAAGCAAUGAUGGGACGAUUGCUCUUUCAACAUAUUCUAUUAGCAAGGAUGGCAAGUGAAAGUGGGAGCGACUGGAUCACUAUUCCUAUCAUGCAUUGUAGACAUGAUGCAUUGAACAUAUGUCUGACAAUUGUCCUUGCAGGAUUCGAUUCGGUACAAGACCAUCACCGAGGCAGACGUGACAAGGGGUUCAUCGUGCCAGGCACCUCGGUGCUGCUUCGCUUCGGUGCGACGGCGGCAGCGGCUACAGAAACAGCUAUGGUGAGCUCCUCUCCUCACCUCCAGUGGUUGCUCUGAGCUCGACUUGGCCAUUGUGCCAUGGCUAUGUCUGGUUAGGCUGCUACAGGUACGCCCUUGUAUAAUGAUGGUGCUACUCUUUGUUUGUUUGUUCGUUUCUCUGCCUUGCUGCCUGCCUGAUAGAAACCUGCUGAAUAUAUGUCCUUGAGCAGCAACUGAUAGAAUAUAUAUAGGUCAUGUUCAUGUUGAUUUCCAUCCCACUCAAAGUCUGAAACACUUCUUCGCACUCAACAACUAGGCAGCACACCUGAAUAUAUAUGCACAUAUGUAUGUAGUUUCCCACUACACACAUGGAGCAGUCUUGUUAGUUUCGGGAUGUAGUAUCACCACUUAAUUUGUUCCCUGCUUGCCUCCAUGAAAUUCGGACUGCAUAUAUGUGGUCUAUGUACCAUCCAUGAUAUGCACUCGCAUCCUCAACUCAUGUUGGUACUGUUUUAUUUCCAAGGAUGCCUUCCUACUCCUGCUAGUUUAGUUGUCGUGUGGCCGUGUUUCCAGGAUGAUGAAAUUCCGAAUAUCUGGUUGUGGCGUGUUGCUCUCUUUUGACACUAAUUUUAUAUCACUACAAUUGUUCAUACAACAUGGAGGGCCGGUACGGAUGCCAUGGAUGCUGCAAGGUUGCUUGUCCUAGUAUGUCUUGCUUGCCCAUUUAGUAUGUAUAUCACUUCAUUCAAUUAAGGAAGGCAUUUCCGACAGCGUCAUGGUAAGAAGUCGUCUCAAGAAGAGUGGCGCUAGAAUAACCAUAGAGGUUAAUAGAAGGAAGCGGGCGAGCACAGAAGCUAUAGGUUGAGUUGGAGGCGGUGCGUUACAAACAGAAUUAGUCAUGGUAUUCGAGGGAGAUGGCGCAUUAGAAGAAUCCACAACACGUUGACGACCAAUGCGGUAAGAAGAGGAUGAGGGGGAAUCAAAGGGAAGCCUCAAGGGACGAGAGAGGUUUGAGGCAGUCUCAGGUAAUGAACAAGGUGAGGAAGCCAUGGGUGACGAUGGCAUGGGAUCUCAACACUAGUACAGGAAGACACGGUGGGAGGGGUGGUGUGAUAGGUAUAUCUGGAGAAGUGAGGAAAUAAAUAUCGUCAAUGGGAGGAUGGACGUGGAUAGAAAGGAUGAGACUCAUCAACUAACGAGCUGCCUCAAGAAAGUGAUCAUGCUUCGCUCAUCAACACCAGUUUGAGCAUGAGCACCAGGAGAAGAGAAUUGAGCAAGUGUGCCUUGCUCAGCAAGGAAUCCGCACAUCAUAUGAGAGAAAUACUCAUGAGUAGAAUCUUCACCGAAGACACUGAUAGGAGUGGAAAACUGGGUAUGAACCAUGGCGAUAAACUUCUUACAGAUAGAUAAGAUCCCAUUACAAGAAGAUAUAAAAUAUAUCCAUGUAUGUCGAGAGUAAUCAUCUAUAAAGAUAAUAUAGUAGCGAUGGCCUCCUAUCGAGGCAAAGGAAGCUAGAACCCGAACAUUAGAGUGAACAAGAUCGAAAGGAUGUUGAUACACCGUCUCGCUAUGAGGAUGAAGUAACUGAACCUGUUUACCAAGCUGACAAACUUGACAGUUUAAAGACACAACACCCAAGACAGAUCCAAGAAAACCACGUCAAACUAAAGAUGAGGGACGAGAGCCAUACAAGUGACCAUCGGUGUUGCAACAUAGAGACGGUAGCCGAGGAAACAGAGGCGAAGAGCCGAAGAGACUAGCGGCGGUGUCAGCAUGGCAGGUGAAGCCAGACAAGCUCCCGGAGGUCCUGGGAAUCACUACGCCGAGGGCCAACACAAAGUAGGGAACCCGUGUGGCGAUCCUAAUCUAACCACCUAAAAUGAGCAAACGAAGGAACAUGACAAGACAAAGUGCUAAUAGUGCCUCGACUAUUGAAUGGGAUGGAAAUAUCAUCAGCAGUAAGAACAUGAACAUGAGAAUCUAUAGGUUUGAAUGGAGGACAAACCGGAAUAAUCAUGAGUCAUAUGAAAAGACGCUCCAGUAUGAAGGAUCCAUAGAAAGAUGUGCUUCUAGCCUAGAAAUGAGUUAAGUGCCCAACCUCGUGGUAGCGAACUUAUAUGAUACUUUUUGGACAUUUCUAAUAAUAGCAUUUUGGCCUAUGGAAUAGUGUCUUAUAGAAUACCACGAGGGAAAACUGGGACGAGCAACUCAGCAGGGUUCCUAUUCGCAAGUUAAAGUGAAGAAAAGACAGAGGAUGGCAAGGGGGUGCUGCUCCUGACAGUGUUUUCAUUGCUUCCACGUACCUCUCUUGCAUUUUCCAUUUCUUGCCGACCCGACUUGGCAUCCUUCCCCUGUUUGUGGGUUGUGUGUCACGGACUUGAUUCCGCAUUCCACGUUCCCUUGCUGGGCGUCCCUGGCCUUGGUGACAGGUAGCGUCGUGCUCCUGGGUGCUUUGCGUCCUCGCGUAAGACGGAGACGGUGCCAACUGCCGUGCUCUUGCUCCGCCAGUGGUGGUGCCUGAGCUUGUGGCUAUUGGGACAACCUUCAGGGGAGCACGGGAUGUAGGAACAAGGCAGCACACAAAGCAACUUGCAGCUAGGUAAAGGAUUCCUUGCCGGACUGGCGUGUAGUGGAGAGUACACGGGAGGUGUGGUUAAAGGGUGAAAACGCUGUUGGGAGUGUACUGCCGAUGUCGUCAGUCUUUGGACCCAGAGCUGAGCGAAGAGGGGAUGGCGAUAAGGAAGCGGGGAAGAUGGGAAGAGGGAGCUGGAAGGAGAAAGACAUCAUCCGCCGUGACGGUGAACGGUUGUGGGCAUGGUACCUAUUGUGUUGUGUGGGUGUGUUUGGUUGUUAUUGGCAAGGCACUCUCCUAUGUGUGUUGUCGUCAUGUAGUCCGGGAUCCUUUGUGUGGCUCAUUGGUGGUGAAAGCCCUGCACUUACUAUGGUUGGCGUCGAUAACGAUGGCGACCUUGCCCGUUGUUUCCUUCUUGAAGGCCUCGUUGUGGUGCUACGUCCCUCGCCGUCGUGAUUGUCCAGUUGGCAAGGUUGAUUUGUAGUCAGGCUUUAUGGAUGUUAGAGCGGCGACUUUAGACGGUGGUUGUAUGUCGAGGCAGCGACAUUGGUUACAGGUUAAUGGGUAGGUCAGUGGAUCUACAUUGCAUGGGUGGCGUCUAUAUGCUACGAGGGUAGCGAGUUCAUCGGCACGGCCAAAGUGAUCUGUGGGUUUGGUCUUGGUGGCGUCUAUAUGCUACGAGGGUAGCGAGUUCAUAGCAUAAAGAAGGAACACGACAAGACAAAGUGCUAAGAGUGCCUUGACUAUCGAAUGGGAGGGAAGUGCCAUCAGCAGUAAGAACAUGAACAUGAGAAUCUAGAGGGAUGAAUGGAGGACAAACUAGAAGAAUCACGAGUUAUAUGAAAAUACGCUCCAGUAUCAAGGAUCCAUCGAAAUAUACCCAACUGUGUAAAAAGUGGUCUAACACACUGAAGUCUCGUAAUCUCCAGCAUCGUGAGGGAUUCAACUGAAGAGGUCAACGAAGAAGCAUCAGGCGACGAGGAAUCAGAAGCAGUAAUUAGGUAUCGAAGUUGUGCAAUCUCUUGCGCGGUGAAGGACACUACUGAAAUGGUCGACGUAGAUUCACCAGAAGAGUGGCCGCCUCCACCACCUGUGUGAGCCGCUAGAGGUGUAGUUCGACAAAUACCGGUUGUAGAAGUCGGUGGAGGAGACGGCACCGCAAGCACAAAAGCACCAAGCGCGAUGAGAAGGCGCAUUUGUGAGACGUAGCUGGUGGAGUGAUGUGCAACAACGCUAUCGACGUAAGCCUUGAGGGGACGCUGUGUAGAGUUACCAUCACCAUCUGCAGAGGUCACGAGAGGUGUCACUAUGGAGCCACCACCACUGCCUGCAAAAGCCAUGGGGGUAGCAACGUCAUAGGUGAGGAACACGAAGCACCGGCAGACCGAUAGACGACGCAUGUGUGAGAUGGGGUAAGCAUAGGAACACCCUAAGAAAUCAUCGGACAACAAGAGACUGUCCAAAUUGUGCCUGUUUUUUCUUCUACCGUUUUCUUUUACAGAACAAUCUUAGAGAGCUUAGAGCAUCAAAGAGCAGCGUAUAGGGCGCGCAUAGUAGGGGCAUGGUCCCCAAAGAAGCCAAUUGGCGGGAUGGGUUGCCGAGUCUUAAGGUUCGGGUGCGAAAUGCUGCAUGUAGCAAAAGAGGGAGUUGGGACUGUGACCUGCAGCAGCGGACGUGUCAAAGAUCGCGCCUCUUGGAGCGGUGGGACGCCGGCCUCCCGGAGAUGGUAGUGAGGCACUGACCUUCUGUACAUGGCGACGAGGCGCGGCCUCCUGAAGAUAUUGAAGAGGCACCUUGCGAUUGCGAGCAUGGCGGAAGUGGCCAGAAGGGGCGAGAGAGAUGGAGGCGGAGGCACCGAGCUCUGAAGUGCACGACGGGCGCGGCGGCCUGUGGGAAUUCACCGAGGCGGUAGAGGCCUAGAUGAAGGAGAGACGAGGCCGACCUCUUGGAGAUGGUGGCAAGGCGCGGCUUCCUGGAGCGGUUGGCACCAACCUCCUUGGGAUGGAGGUGAGGCAUCAGCCUCCUAGAGAUGGCGAUGAGGCGUGACCUCUUGAAGAUGUUGGGGAGGUAGCUUGUUGCGAGCGUGAUGGAGGGAGAGGUACUGAGCUCAUAAGGGCACGACAGGAGUGGCGACUUGUGGGAAUUCUCCGGGACGGGAUAGGCCUGGAUGACAAAGGAGAGACAACCCCGACUUGGAGGCAGUGAAGCGAUGACAAGAAAAAUUGAUCGAGGUGUACUAGCCUGAGAAAAAAUGAUCUGGAACUUAGAUCGAGAUCGACAGAGAGGAGCACGAGUUGUGUGUGUGAGGAAGAAAACCUAGCUCUAAUACCAUGUUAGGAAUAUGCAACUUGUAUUCCAAGGUGGCCAUAGGCUAAACACGUACAUAUGUGAUGAAGAAAGCCCCUUGUAUAAUGUGAAAAUACAAAGGGCACAUGACUAUAAUAUACUAUUACUCAUAACAUGUUGAACACCCGGGCAUUGUGUACCUUCCAUAUGUCUAAAAUGCGAGCAACAUUGUUGACUCGAGUCCACAGUGCGUCGAAGGCGGAAUGGCCGCCUGACAGCCAAUCGACCAGUUGGAAAGGGAAACGUCGCCCCCUUGGGGCAGUGCUGAUGUUGAAGAGGUGAUCACCAAUUUCUAGAUUGUCGUCAAGGAGAGCUGGUGAAUAGGUGUUGAGCUCUCUUAGGGGCACUGAAGCAGAGGGUGCAGGCGAUGUGGAUGUCUAUACCGUGGCGGUGACGAUGUCAGUAGACCAUAAACAAUACUCCAGAUAUGUGCCAACCGCGUGUGGCUGCAAUUGCAAUCCUUGCAAUCCAAAGCCAAGCAUCAUUGAGUCAUUGUGGUGAAGAAGAGGACGAGGGGAAAUCACCGGAGAAGCCUAAGGUUACGAGCGAGGUGAGGUAGCCUCAGGUAACGAAUGAGGUGGGGAAGCUACAGGUGAUGACGGACUAGUGUCUACAAGAUUAGUACUAGAAGACACAGUGGGAUGGGUGGAGGAGGACAAUACAUGGGUGAUGGGUGUAUCGGGAGAUAUUGGGAAAGAAAUUUAACUCAUAAAGUAUGAGAGGGUCAUUAGGCAGCCUUGUUGCUCCCAUGAAAUUAUUCAUUGAAAGCGACCCGCGGCUAUUGUAGCUAGAGAAAAAAUCGGGACGAAUCGAUCCCCACCUGGACACAAUGGGAUGGGUGGAGGAGGACAAUACAUGGGUGAUGGGUGUAUCGGGAAAAAUGAGGAAAGAAAUUUAACUCAUAAAGAGUAUGAGAGGGUCAUUAGGCAGCCUUGUUGCUCCCGUGAAAUUAUUCAUUGAAAGCGACCCGCGGCUAUUGUAGCUAGAGAAAAAAUUGGGACGAAUCGAUCCCCACCUGGACAUGAGCCCAGGGGCCGACUCCACUCCUCAUUGCCCUGGACCAUGACCUAACCCGGGUUUCCCCUAGGACCCUCCUUCCAUCUUGCCCCCGCCGCUUCCUCUCUUCUCCCUUGCACCGCCCAUCUCUGGCGCCUCUCCCAUGCCCUUGCCCUCAUUGUCGUGAGCUCUGCCGUUCGCUGCCCCGAGCUCUGCCCUUUUCUUCUUGCGGGGCUGCCGGUGUAGCUCCUCCUCCCACGCGGCCUCCACCGACAUUAUUUCUUCCUGAGCUCGACCUUGUCCAUGGCUGCAAGCCACCACGGACUCCUUCCGCUUCUUCCAGACGGCCAACACGUUUGUGCGCGAUUAGCUCGCAUUUUCAUGGCCUCCAACUGCACAGGUGAGUCCCAAACCGUCUCUCUUUCUCUCCCUGCUCCCUGCAUUUUGUGGAAUCAGGAGCGGAAGAAGCAGCGAGCGAGUUGGUGGCAGCUCCGGGUGGCUUCGUGUGACUGCUGCGCUGAUUGUGGCUUCGUCAGCCGGCGGCAGGGUUGCGGCCUGUAUCGUGCAGCUAAGGUGUCGAGCGACAGCUAGGGUUUUCGGUGGCGGGCAGCAAUAGAAGUUCAUCUGACCUUCGUUCUCCUGCAGCAUGGUUCAAAUCAAUUAAAGACCUGAGAUUCAGUUGUAGAAGCUGCAGACAACCAGCACCGGCGAGGCACAGAAGAAGUUUCCACGGUCAGGUCUACAUUGAGGCAAGGCCAUGUCAAGGACACCACGGCCAUCGAAAACGACUGCCAAUAAGUUUGUACCUUUGAACACGUGCAGGUUCCAUCCAACCUGUAUGGGAAUGAUCAUUGAGCAGGCCAAAAAGUUACAUAAUUUCCUGUGCUCGGAUUGUGCUAAAGAAAACGACACAAAGAGACCUUCAAAUUCAUAUACCAGAGUUCACCAAGUUCUGAUUCUAAAGCCAGUGAUUUAAGUCCCUUUUCUUGACUGUACAGUUUAUCGAUAUUCUGCUUGCGGAUAGCUAUAUGCCUUUAUCUUAUCUUUUUAAAUUUAGUUUCAAGAAUUUCAUUUCCAAAGCUGGUGGUUCAUGCCUUUGUUUUUUCAGUAUUCCUCGGAAAAUGUUUGGUGUUUGACUAAGCAAGUACUCAUGUGUAGUUAAAAUUUCCUGUCAUGAGGUGGUGUUCAUUACUAGGUUCAAAGUAUGCUCAGAUUAUCUUCCAAAUCAUGAUGAUGAUGGCUUUUUCUAUCAGCCUGCCCUUAGGUACACUGGAGAUGCAGUUCAAUCUCAUUGUUAAGUUUAGACAUAUAAUUAUGUGUCUUGAAUUCUUUUUAUUUUAUAUUUUUAUAUGAAAUAAAUCAUCUGUAGCAUACUUGGUUUCCCAUAUUGUUUUUAAUUAUGGAUUUAGGCUGCGUUCGGUUUGUAGGAUUUUCGCAGGAAUCUAGAAGGAAUACUGUUCAUGGAGGUUUAUUUUCCUUUGUGGUGUUCGGAAUGCAGGGAUCACCUAGAGUAAUUUAAAGUAAACCGGCCUUCCGAUGCUGAUUCCAGAGGAAAUGAAACAUCUGCCUGGAGCUCAUUUUUUCGCGGAAGACCGAGGCGAGGUGCCUUAUGCCUUGGCAGUUAGCAUAGAGACCUAGUUAAAAUAAGCUGAUGUGUCGAUGCAUGUAGGACUACAUAUUAUUGAGAUAUUAGUUCUUCUUGCUGUGGUGGUUCCCUGCAGUUUGCCAUCACAACUACUUGCACAAGAGGCGUUUCUACUCCUAUGUGGUUUGCUUGAUUUGUGUAUGACUGAGCAUCUUUCCUAAUUUAGCUCAUUAUAGUUUCACUGAAGACUGACAGACAUCUUCGAGACCAACAGGACAAAAAAGAAUGAAAAUCAUCAUCCAUUAAGGUGUUUUAUUCAAAUUCCACAAUCGGCGAUCACACACAGAACAGAGAGUUCGUACUUUUCUUUUUGGUCCAUGAUGACGUGUGUGUCCGUAAUGAAACAGAGGACUGGAAUUGAUAAUAAACUGGUUUAGCAGUAAUUAUCU